CAGCCCUAAACGAUGCGCGUUAGGUGUAUCGGUGACCACGAGUCACCGAGGUGCCGAAGGGAAACCGUGAAACGUGCCGCCUGGGAAGUACGGUCGCAAGGCUGAAACUUAAAGGAAUUGGCGGGGGAGCACCACAACGAGUGGAGCUUGCGGUUUAAUUGGAUUCAACGCCGGAAAUCUUACCGGGACCGACAGCAACAUGAAGGCCAGGCUGAAGACUUUGCCGGAUUAGCUGAGAGGAGGUGCAUGGGUAGUCGUGU
This 260-nucleotide ribosomal RNA is filed under the name uncultured archaeon. RNAcentral's name for it is "partial 16S ribosomal RNA". It matches the Rfam family "Archaeal small subunit ribosomal RNA", at positions 748 to 1006 of the family's 1478-position model. The record is from RNAcentral.